CCUACGGGAGGCUGCAGUGAGGAAUAUUGGUCAAUGGGCGCGAGCCUGAACCAGCCACGUAGCGUGAAGGAUGACUGCCCUACGGGUUGUACACUUCUUUUAUAAAGGAAUAAAGUGAGGCACGUGUGCCUUUUUGUAUGUACUUUAUGCAUAAGGAUCGGCUAACUCCGUGCCAGCAGCCGCGGUAAUACGGAGGAUCCGAGCGUUAUCCGGAUUUAUUGGGUUUAAAGGGAGCGUAGAUGGGUUGUUAAGUCAUUGGUGAAAGUUUGCGGCUCAACCGUAAAAUUGCAAUUGACACUGGAAGCCUUGAGUACAGUUGAGGUAGGUGGAAUUCGUGGUGGAGCGGUGAAAUGCUUAGAUAUCACGAAGAACUCCGAUUGCGAAGGCAGCCUACUAAACUGCCACUGACAUUGAUGCUCGAAAGUGUGGGUAUCAGACAGGAUUAGAUACCCCUGUAGUC
RNAcentral lists this ribosomal RNA (460 nucleotides) under uncultured bacterium. RNAcentral describes it as "partial 16S ribosomal RNA". It matches the Rfam family "Bacterial small subunit ribosomal RNA", at positions 338 to 795 of the family's 1533-position model. The record is from RNAcentral.